GAAUCAUUUUUCACACAAAAUAUAAAAGUUAUUUAAACUUUUAUAACAGUGCAUAAUUUUCAUAUUUGCUUACAUAGAAGCACUAUUUGAUCAAAGCACAAAUUACUUUCUGCUUACUAAGAAGCAUAUUUUCUCAAAUAUAAAAGUCCUUAAACUUUUAUAAAAUACAUUUGCUCUUUAAUUGAUAUCUGCUUAUUUAAGAAGCAUCCAUCUGUACUAAAUUCUUAUCUACUUAUUUGAGAAGCACAUUAUUGUAAAAUCAUUUGUAAAAAGAGAAAAGGUUAGAGUUAGUUUAUUUUAUGUACUUGUGAGAAAGAAGAGUAAUUCUUCGACCAAGACCAGAGUCUUAGAGAGGUCAGCAGGAAGUUGGGUCUCUAGUGUACUUAUGAGGUGAGAAAGAGGCAGUUGUUUCAAGACCGGAUCAUAGAAUAGAACUGAACUCAAAAGAAGUACAACUAAGCUUGAGGAGGGAGCGGGGAGCUUGCUGUCCAAGAUAGAUUAGUUGGGAAUAGUUGAAAGUUUGACUAUAAAACUUUGUAAAGGCUUCUUCGCCUGUUAAAGGAGUAUUUAUUACUGAUAGUAAUAGGAUCUCAAGUCCUGGAGAGGAGCUUGAGACUGGACGUAGCAGCAUACCCGUGAUGUAUAUUGUGAACCAAACAAAUCUUUGUGCAUUAUGUGAUUGAAUUUUUACUGUCUUGCA
RNAcentral lists this long non-coding RNA (700 nucleotides) under Panax ginseng (ginseng). RNAcentral describes it as "long non-coding RNA (PGIN_LNC004675)". Lineage: Eukaryota; Viridiplantae; Streptophyta; Magnoliopsida; Apiales; Araliaceae. The record is from RNAcentral.